UUCCUUGUAGCUUUCAUCAUUUUCAUCGUGCGUAGACAAAUAACACGACGGCACCAGAAGAUGGAGGAAGAAGUGGAAGAUUUUGGAAACCUACAAGGAACACCAAUGAGGUUCACGUUUCAACAGUUAGAAGUAGCAACCGAGAAAUUCAGAGACAAGCUCGGGGAAGGAGGAUUUGGGUCUGUUUUCAAGGGACAGCUUGGUGACGAAACAAUUGCAGUGAAACGUUUGGAUCGAGCCGGUCAGGGAAAACGAGAAUUUCUGGCAGAGGUCCAGACAAUCGGCAGCAUCCACCAUAUCAAUCUAGUGAGGCUGAUAGGUUUCUGUGCAGAGAAAUCUCAUAGGCUCUUGGUUUAUGAGUAUAUGCCCAAAGGAUCUUUGGACAACUGGAUCUAUUAUCGACACGACAACAGUGCUCCUCCUCUGGAAUGGAGGAUGCGAUGCAAGAUUAUUGCUAACAUAGCUAAGGGCCUCUCUUAUCUUCAUGAGGAGUGCAUGAAGAGAAUUGCUCAUUUGGAUGUCAAACCACAAAAUAUCCUCUUAGAUGAAAACUUCAAUGCUAAGCUUUCUGAUUUUGGACUCUGCAAACUAAUUGAUAGGGAUACGAGUCAAGUAGUUACUAGAAUGAGAGGCACACCUGGCUAUUUAGCUCCUGAAUGGUUGACAUCACAGAUCACGGAAAAGGCCGAUGUCUAUAGCUUUGGUGUUGUGGUCAUGGAAAUCAUCAGUGGAAGAAAGAACCUCGAUACUUCCCGAUCUGAAGAGAGUCUGCAUCUUAUUUCCAAGUUGGAAGAAAAGGUGAAGAGUAAUCACUUGGAAGAUUUGAUUGACAAGAACAGUAAUGACAUGCAAGAACAUGAGCAUGAAGUAAUUGAGAUGAUAAAGCUCGCAAUGUGGUGUCUGCAGAUUGAUUGCAAAAGAAGGCCUCAAAUGUCUUAGGUCGUCAAAGUCUUGGAAGGUACCAAGAAUGCAGAGACCAACAUAGAGCACAGCUUUGUUGCUACAAAUCAAGUGAAUUUUGGUAUUGCUGGAAAUAUGACCUCCUCAGCUCCACCUCUAGCCUCAGAUGUGUCAGGUCCAAGGUGAACUGAGAGAAUCCUGACAGGAUAGAAUUAGAUUUGUUCAGGAGAGUGUCUUAUGUAAUACAAAGGCCAUGGUUGUUGUAUUUUCUCAAAUUACUACAAUCUAAAGCCCUUCAUGUUGAGUUUUUUUUUUGGUGUGUAGAAUAUCUCAACGUGUCCUUUGAUCUAAACAGAUGAAGAGCUCUUUAGGAACAUUACAGUUGUUUUGUAUUUUCAUAAGAAGAAAAAGACAAGUUAUGCAAGCAUGCCUAGUUUUAAUAGGGAAAGAUAUCAUUGUGUUCCUUACUUUGUUCAGUUUCUCUCUUUAACGCAAAUCUGUUUCUGGUUAUUGUAAUUGAAACUAACAGCAUGCUUCAAAAUGCUGCUUGCUUCAAUAAAGCAGGAAACGGAAUGUGAAGAAGUAAUCUGGAAGUUUGAGGGUCUAACAAAUGAAAAUGAAUUAGUAACCACAAGUGCUUUGGGUUCUAUAUAAUUUCUACCAGGAUAGUAUGACACAGGUAGUGAUGUAAAUUAAGGUUUCGAAGGUCAAAAAAUGCCUCGGAUCUAUAUCAAUUCAUAGCAACAAAACUAUAAAAUGCUACAUAUAUUUGUAACUACUGUUCUUUCAACUCCAGAUAACCUACUUUUCAUAGUUGAUAGCCAAUCUUUGUUCCAUUGACCCUGCUAGAGGAUAUUUUAAUAAUAUCAGUCCAGGGAAUUAGGCCUUUGGGCUUGCAAUGCUGUGUGCAAGGGAUCAGAGCAUCGCCACACUGACUCCAGCUAAAGGAACAGUGAGCCACAUUGCACCGGAACCAUACUCUGGAGCUUUGGGACAAUAUCCUACAAGAAGGAGGUGCUGGAAAUGGUGAGGAGGAGGAGUCAGAUCCACAGAUUAAGAUCAAACCGAAGUUUAUAUUCCAGAGAUGAUAUACAAAAUAACAAUCACGAUGCCAGAACUGGAAUCGACAGGUGACAUGGCUGAAGAAGAGAAUGGGAUGAUAAGUUGAUCACCCAUAUAUGGCCAAAGUGGUGUUAACAGGAAGCUUUCAGAGUCUAGGGGUGCCUCCUAAGCCAUAUGUUCAUAUCCGGGACACCCUAUGCUGCACAUUUAGCAAAAAAUAUUAGUACACUGAUUCUGAAAAUGUUUGAGACUUGGUAUGCUGCAGUAAUGCCUAGUGCACAUCCGCUUGAUUUUCAGCUCAAUUAGCAUUCCUAUAGUAAAGCCUAUGGCAUCAGCUAAAGGUGUGUCAGGAGUUGCUGUUUUACGAUGCAUCAUCACUAGUGUGGCCUGUUUCCAUCCUUGACAUGGUGUACCCGACUAGCCACCAUCACUCAAAAGUCAAAAGAGAGUGAAGAGGAUGGUUCACCUUCUGGAUGCGGAGGAGGUCAAAGACGGCAGUGAGGUGCCCCCAAGGGGACUCGCUGCAGACAAGAGCGGCUGAGAGAAACAGAACUGCAAAGAAAGGACAGUGGCGGCGUGCCACAGAAGUGUCUGGCGACCGGAAGCCUUGGGCAGCUGCCGUCGCCGGAGCUCCGUCGAGAGGUGGGAAGGCACAGAAGCGUAAUUGGAGCGAACAGCGGCCCAGCAAGUUAGGCAUCUCCAAGGCAAAGCAGAAUUUCUGUUGACAAUUACAACUACGUAUAUUCACUAUUCAAGUCUUGUAGUAAUAAUUUGUUGUUUUGUACAGGGCUUGUAUGGUCAUAAUUUUGCAUCAAAUGUUGCAUGUUUACGUCCUGAUGAACAACCAUUUUUUUUCAGAAUUUUUUUCACAGCCUUUUGAAAUAGACGAAGAGAAAGGGUCUAUAAUGUGUAUGUUGAUGCAAGUCAAGAAAAUCUCCUUUUAUAUAUCCCUCCCAUGAAAACAAUACAUGCUUCCCUAAAAAUAACAGAACUAUACAUGCUUGUAACCUACUCCGUACUAUAUAUAUAGCUCCCCCCAUGUAUUGAAAAAUUAUAAGUCAAUUCAGUUUUCAGUACAGAGGAUUAUAACGGGUUAUAGAGAGAUUGGAGAGGAUAACACAUAAAAGGAUAGGAAAAGAGAUGUCAACCUCAAGUGUACAAGGAAAGCAGGAGAAGCUGACAAAGAUGAGGAGGCUUUUCACCACCCUCGUUUGCACGCAGAUGACAAAGUUACGAAAGCGAGAGAAACUUUGGCCCCAUAGUUG
RNAcentral lists this long non-coding RNA (3227 nucleotides) under Brachypodium distachyon (stiff brome). Its description in RNAcentral is "long non-coding RNA (BDIS_LNC001543)". Lineage: Eukaryota; Viridiplantae; Streptophyta; Magnoliopsida; Poales; Poaceae. The record is from RNAcentral.